RNAcentral lists this ribosomal RNA (473 nucleotides) under uncultured bacterium. Its description in RNAcentral is "bacterial SSU rRNA". It matches the Rfam family "Bacterial small subunit ribosomal RNA", at positions 28 to 507 of the family's 1533-position model. The record is from RNAcentral.
GACGAACGCUGGCGGCGUGCCUAACACAUGCAAGUCGAGCGGGGUUGAGGCGAGAGGUAACUCGAACUUCUACCUAGCGGCGACGGGUGAGUAACGCGUGGGCAACCUGCCUCAAGGUUUGGGAUAACAGCCCAAAGGGCUGCUAAUACCGGAUAUGCCUAUGGCCUCGCAUGGGGCUAUGAGCAAAGGGGAAACCCGCCUUGAGAUGGGCCCGCGUCCCAUCAGCUAGUUGGUGAGGUAACAGCUCACCAAGGCGACGACGGGUAGCCGGCCUGAGAGGGUGACCGGCCACACUGGGACUGAGACACGGCCCAGACUCCUACGGGGGGCAGCAGUGGGGGAUCUUGCACAAUGGGCGAAAGCCUGAUGCAGCGACGCCGCGUGAGCGAAGAAGGCCUUCGGGUUGUAAAGCUCUGUCUGGAGGGACGAACAAAAUGACGGUACCUCCGGAGGAAGCCACGGCUAACUACGUG